Molecule: long non-coding RNA, 453 nt
Filed under: Ananas comosus (pineapple)
Lineage: Eukaryota; Viridiplantae; Streptophyta; Magnoliopsida; Poales; Bromeliaceae
Description: long non-coding RNA (ACOM_LNC002075)
Source: RNAcentral
CACUACAAUGCGGCUUCCAAAUCGACGAUCGGCUCUGUUAGACUUGAUUUACACUAUUGAAAGUAUUUAGAAACUAAAUUUCAUAAUUUUUCGGUAUCAUUUAUCUAUCAAAUGAGUAGUUUAAAAAUGAACGGCUGAAAAAAAAAAUCUUAUAAAAAAUAAUGAUAAAAGACUUGAAUUUAAGAUCAGAGAUAUUGAUCUUACUCUAAAUAGUGAAAAGAAUUUUCUAUAAAAAUUUCAUCAAAUUUGGAUUGUUUUACACCGUUAAAUUCACAAACGUAUCAUAUCCACCAUUAAAAUUAUCAAUUUUGAAACCUUUUGAUCACUAGCCAGAUGAUGUCGAAAAAUUAUGAAAUUUAAUUUUCAAAUACUUUCAAUAGUAUAGAUCGAGUCUAACGGAGGCGAUCAUCGAUUUGGAAGCUGGAUCAUUGAAAACAACUUGGUAGCAUGGAU